This 240-nucleotide long non-coding RNA is filed under the name Vombatus ursinus (common wombat). RNAcentral's name for it is "lncRNA (ENSVURG00010013962.1)". Lineage: Eukaryota; Metazoa; Chordata; Mammalia; Diprotodontia; Vombatidae. The record is from RNAcentral.
ACCGCCCUCGGUCCCACGUGGCCCCCCUUCGGUGCCCUCGCCAAGCUACCAGACAAUGCCACAGAUGCCAGAGGAUUGGCCCACGUAUUCUGCAUAGAAGUUGAGGAGGUCAAGAAUGAACUUUGAUCUUUCCUGAUAAUGGUGGUGGAAUGACACCUCGGGACCUGUACCGAAUGUUCAGGAGGCUUCAGCUACCCUGUUUCUCACAACAAACAAGGCAGGGCUCUGCCCUGCUCCUGU